ACUCCUACGGGAGGCAGCAGUAGGAAGUCUUCCACAAUGGGCGCAAGCCUGAUGGAGCAACACCGCGUGAGUGAAGAAGGGUUUCGGCUCGUAAAGCUCUGUUGUUAAAGAAGAACACGUAUGAGAGUAACUGUUCAUACGUUGACGGUAUUUAACCAGAAAGUCACGGCUAACUACGUGCCAGCAGCCGCGGUAAUACGUAGGUGGCAAGCGUUAUCCGGAUUUAUUGGGCGUAAAGAGAGUGCAGGCGGUUUUCUAAGUCUGAUGUGAAAGCCUUCGGCUUAACCGGAGAAGUGCAUCGGAAACUGGAUAACUUGAGUGCAGAAGAGGGUAGUGGAACUCCAUGUGUAGCGGUGGAAUGCGUAGAUAUAUGGAAGAACACCAGUGGCGAAGGCGGCUACCUGGUCUGCAACUGACGCUGAGACUCGAAAGCAUGGGUAGCGAACAGGAUUAGAUACCCCUGGUAGGAUAGCG
This 474-nucleotide ribosomal RNA is filed under the name uncultured bacterium. Its description in RNAcentral is "bacterial SSU rRNA". It matches the Rfam family "Bacterial small subunit ribosomal RNA", at positions 335 to 801 of the family's 1533-position model. The record is from RNAcentral.